This 204-nucleotide unclassified non-coding RNA is filed under the name uncultured fungus. RNAcentral's name for it is "sequence contains ITS1". Lineage: Eukaryota; Fungi. The record is from RNAcentral.
UCCUUUUCUUUGCUUGAAGCAUCGAAAGAACACAGUUCUUGUUUGUUUGUUUGGUUAAAGAAAAAUGCCGGGCAAGUACAAGCAUGGACCAAUCCGCGUUCAAACAAACAGAAAAACAAAAACGUCAAAAGGCGAACGAAAAGCAAAAACCGCUCAAGAAUUCUUUCGAUCACAACAAUCCAUUGUUGCAGUAAAAUCUUUGAC